RNAcentral lists this long non-coding RNA (6680 nucleotides) under Olea europaea subsp. europaea. The record is from RNAcentral. Lineage: Eukaryota; Viridiplantae; Streptophyta; Magnoliopsida; Lamiales; Oleaceae.
GGACAACAUCUUUAAUUAUUUUAAUGAUUAAAGCAUAAAUAAGCGACAUUCUUCUAUCAAUGAAGUAUAUCCUCGAAAAGAUGGAGAGAAUGCUAAAAGAAACAAUAGUAGGGUGAGUUUUUAUGGUUAUUACUUCUCCCACCAAAGCACAGGCCUGCUUCUCGGCUUCAAUGGACUAUUUUGGAAAAAAAAAAAAAAAAAAAAAAAAUCUCCUGCUUUAGUCUUGUAUGGACACACAUCUGAGAUUUUCUUGAAUUUUAUUAUAUAAUCAUGAUGACGCCUCUUGAUAUUAAGUGCCUUACAAACUCUUCAUUUAAAAAUUACACACGAAUUGAAGUAUUUAAGAAUGUUAUGCAAAACAUGAGCAAGAAAUUUGAAACUUUUAUCGCCCCUUCUCUAAAAAGAAAUGGUCAGCCAUUCAAUUUUUCAGACUUGAAACUCAUUUCACAUGAGUUUUUUCUUCAUCAUCUUGCAUAUUUUUGCAUUUGUAUGCUCCCAGAUUAUUAUACAUAUGUUUUCAUUCAUGUUUAGAAAAUCUUAAGCCGUUUGGAUGUCUCGAAGAUUAAAUAUUCAUUCCAUGAAUUAUAUUUAUUUAACAAUUAAUUGAUUUAUCUAAGUUUAAUUCAUGCAUGAUUCUUUACAUAGGAAAUGAAAAGUUGGGUUUAAGAAAUAUUUUCUAAUGUAGAGGUUUCUUCCCAUGAUUUUUUAUUUUUUUUAUUUAAAGAAAAUUCCUAAUUUUUGGCAGAGUUUUAGUUUAGUUCUCAAUUUAUUUGAUUGAGAUGAAGAAAGUUAGUGAAAUUCUGAAGGGGAAAUGAAAUGUUGGGAUUUAAGAAGGUUAGGUGUUUUGAUGAGAUUGAUGAAAAUUAUCGGAGUUUUGAGACAAUGGGUGGUGGAAAAGAGUGUUAUAUCCCUAUACCUUAAAAGACACUUACCAAUAGUUACUGUUCAUAGUUGAGUUCCACGUUUUCACACUUAACCUUUUGGAACUGGCUUGGCAAUUUCGAUGGGCCGGUAGUUACUGUUGAUGAGCCCAAAAGUUUUUUGUAUCAGUCAUUCAAUUUUUCAGACUUGAAACUCAUUCCACACGACUUUUUUCUUCAUCAUCUUGCAUAUUUUUGCAUCCAUGUGCUCCCAGAUUAUUAUACAUAUGUUUUCAUUCAUGUUUAGAAGAUCUUAAGCCGUUUGGAUCACUCGAAGAUUAAAUAUUCAUUUUAUGAAUUAUAUUUAUUUAACGAUUAAUUGAUUUAUCUAAGUUUAAUUCAUGCAUAAUUCUUUACGUAGGAAAUGAAAAGUUGGGUUUAGGAAAUAUUUUCUAAUGUAGAUGUUUCUUCCCAUGAUUUUUUUUAUUUAAAGAAAAUUCCUAAUUUUUGUUAGAGUUUUAGUUUAGUUCUCAAUUUAUUUGAUUGAGAUGAAAAAAGAAAGUGAAAUUAUGAAGGGGAAAUGAAAUGUUGGGAUUUAAGAAGGUUAGGUGUUUUGAUGGGAUUGAUGAAAAUUACCGGAGUUUUGAGACAAUGGGUGGUGAAAAAGAGAGUGUGAUAUUAAAAAUGGAGAAGUAGGUGUUGGAGCAAUGAAUCAAAAUGAUUUCUUUGUUGGGAAUGAGGUUUUUCAUAUUUUUGUAGUGGAUUCAUGUCUUCUUCAUGUGAAUGAUCAGAACAAAUGGAACUUUCAUUUAAUGAUGGGAAAGAGGAAAGUAGGUUGGAUUUUGAUAAUAAUGUGCCCAGUGUGCCGAACUUUGACAUGAAAGAUGGUGGAAUGGAAAGAAUCUAUCAAGGAUAUACACAACAACAACCUGUGAAUAUUGAGAGAAGAGUGGAUAUUAUUGACAUUACGUCAAUGAGAGGAUGAUGAUGUGGAAAUAAUAGCUUAUAAAAAAGAUGCUAUCGGAAAGGGUAAGCAAAUUGAGGUUGGGAUGUUAUGUGAUAGUACAGAAAAUUUGAACGUUGCUGUGGCAUACUCUUCUCAUUAUGUAGGAUUAGGUGUAUCUGUUCAAUAUGCGUGGUAGAUGCAUUUUGAAAGUACUUGAGGUUGUUUUGUAGUAUGAUUUUGGAGCAAAUGUAUACACAUUUUCUGUUUGUUAUAUAGAUGUUGAGACAACAUUAUUUUUUAUAGCCUAAUUAUGGUAAAUCGAAAUAAGCUAGAAUGCACUAUAUUACACCAUCUAGAAUCAUAAAAGUAAAGACUUAACCCCUUGUACCAUGUAAAUGUAACGCUUAAAAACAGUUCAAUUAGCAUGCUAUAGACCAAUUGAAUUUCGCACAUGAAUUCCAUGUAUGUGAAAUAUUUCCUACUUUCGUAUGAUAAUUAUUGAGGGGGGGGGGGUAUUGUCUGGUUAUUUUGAAGUAUGAGUGCUAACAGGUAAUGCCUUCUUUUUCGAGAGUGCAUAGACUAUAACUUGCAUGUGUGGUUAAAUCAAGUGAGGUCUGGCGCUGGUUGUGAUUAUUUAAUUUGCAUCCAAACUAAUGGUAGGAUGACAAAAAAAUACGCUCGAUAAAAUUAAAAGGGUUAGGUUGAAGAAAAUGAAAGCUAGGAGUUAGGGAUCAUUUCUGUUAAGUUUCUUUCUAUUUCCAAUCACUAGUCCUUAAUUUGUAUAUAGUGCCUUAACAUUAUUAUUUUAUACACACACACAAGAAAAAAAAGAGGAUUUAUCCAUAAUGACUCUUUUCAAUAUUCAUAUAAUUAAAAUUCAACAAAAAAGAGAAAAUACCGAAUUACAAUUGCUUUUGCUUGUAUGGAUAUAUCAUCAAAGUUACAUCGCUAAUUUUUGUGGCAGUGACUUUUUAUAACAAAAAAAUUGCCUUUGAAGGAUAAAUGGUAUUUAUUUCCUUUGUCUUUGAUGUUAACAAUCUGAAUUUUUACAUUAAAUUUAUACAAACUUAGUAAAAUAAUUUAGUGGAAAAUAUGUGUUAAGACAAAAAUUGAGUUUAAAAAGUUAAGAUAAAUACUAACUUUUACGUUCUUGUAAUGUAGGGCAAUUGUGUAAUCUUUUGGUAAAGGCACUUCCUUCUACGUGAUUCAGGUGCAAUUUCUUCAAAAAUAUUCAUUUGAUACUAAUUUUGUUGUUCUUUCAUAGUGAUUUGUAAAAGACAUUUGUAUAUUUUUCCUUUAAAACUUCCUGUUGAUUUCUCGACUAUUCUAUGUAUUUCGAUUUUUAAAUUUAUAUUGUGAAUGGGUUCACAUUCGUAAUUACAUUUUUAUUGUCUGCAUAAUAGCUUUAGAAAUCGAAUGUAUAUGUGAUUAUUUUGCUAUGUUUUUGCUUUUCUGGGAUUUCUUAUACUUUUGUUAGCUUUUUCCAACUAAUGAUUUUGUUUUUGGUUUUUUGCCCCCAAAAUAGCUACAUAUCCAUAUCUUAACGACAACCCGUAAUACAACACCAAAACUUCAUAAAAAUUUUACUUGUUAGCUAGCCAACGUACCUACGUCUUUUUUUUUUUUAUUUAUAUUUUGGCUUAUUAAUUUAAAUUAAAUUUUGACCUGUCACUUUAGGCUUCAUUCAAAAAAAUAUGUUGAAAUUCUUCAAAUUUUUUGUGGGUUUGUUUUAGAAGGUGUUAAUUUUGUAGAUCAAGAGGAAGGGAAAAAAAAACCCCCCUUAAACUUUAGUUCUUGCAAGAUAUUAGACUUCGUUUAUAAAGUUAGCCACUUUGUAGCUUGCGUCUUCCUUGGACUCUGCAUCUUAUUAAGUAGGCUUGGAAGUAUCUCAUUUGACUUUUCGACAACUAAUAUCAACGCAAGCCUAUUUAAACAAUUUGAUUCGAACCACUCUCUAGUGCUUUGUUGAUGAUUUCUAUAGCUCUUACUAUGAUUGCAUGUUUAAGGUUGUUGUAUUUUGCUUUCUUGUUAUGAUGCUCAAUAUUUUUCUGUAACACCUUGAAACUUUUGUCAAGUGGGCAAUAUUCUCUCGUUCUUGGAGUUAAAUUUAUAUUUUCUGGAAGUUCAGGAGAUGGAACAAUGUUAGUUUCAUUUUCAAUUUUUAGGGAAGUUUCAUUUGAGCUGAUUAAUUUGAUCACGGAAGUGCUAUUUAUGUUCAAGUUAUAGUAUUCUAAUAUCGUCCAUCCACAAAACUAACAACUUCUCCUACAUGGAAAAUGAUAUACAUGAAUUAUCUGUCGUAACUUGGUUCUUGGAGUUGUCCAAUGUUCAGUGGUGGUUAUUAUGGUUCUUUUUCUGUUUAUUAAACAUGCACAAAAAGAGUGAGGUAGUAGUUAUUAUUGAAAGUUGAUUUAGGGCCCGUUAGGCAUUGCUCUUGAAAAGUCAAAAUGAACUUUUGAAACUCAAAAGUCGCUUUUGGACUUAUUUGACUGAUUUUAUGAAUCCUUCGUCAGGGAAGAAUUUAUAAAUGAUUUAAUUUAUAAAUUGAUAGAAAUAAGUGAUAGAUAGGUAAAUAAUACAUGUGAAUCCUUUGAAAUGUGUUGUUGAAAAUGAAAUUUUAUUACUUAUAAAUCAUUUUAAGGCGAAUGGUGGCUAACCAACCAAUUUUCCAUUUAUGCAGAUCGAACUUGUAUAAUUGGGGCUCAUUUAUUAGAUUGUUUUGGUACCAUCUACUAUGCUCUUGUAGUGGGGAUUAAAAUUAAAUUUUUAGUAAAAUUUUUAUAGUAGUUGAUUAAAUGCAUGGUUAAAAAGUUGUGGGUUCUAUGAAAUAUAUAGUUAAAAUUAAUUGUUUACUUUGAUUUAUAUUGAAAAUUAGAUUUUAGUUCCUACCAAACAGGUUUUUAUAAAUCAUAUUGAGUGACUUUGAGUGAAAUUUUCCCACAAUUGUUUAUCAUAUUUUAGACAUCUGGAUCAUUUUUAGGCUGUAUAAAGCAAUCAGUGCUCCACUUUCUUAGCUAAAUGUAGAGCUUGUUCCACCUUUCUUAUUUGAUCUUCAGUUCUCAAAAUUCAUAUGGAAGCUAAUAGAUAGUGAACAUGUUCAUCUGUGCUGAAAAGUUACUUUAUUUUUCAGCAAGUAUUUGUUAGUAAAAGAUUCAUAUAAUCAAGUUUAACUUAUUUUUAAGUAUAAAUAUACUUAUAAUGGCAAAUCAAUUCCAAAUAAGAAACUUUUUCUAUCUUCUAAAGUUUUAAAAUUAUAUUAGUAUAUUAUUAAUUGUUUAGAUCUUAUGCAGGCAUUUUUAAGGGUUGCAAAAGAUCUUUAUGCUAUUGUGAUUGCACCCAGAGAGAGUCAAGAGAGCCGGUUUGGCCUAUACUCGUACUUCAUGUUUUAAUUAAUUCUAUCAUUACAUGUUUUACUUCAACUUUGAUGCUUGAAUUAAAGUGUUUCGAUGCUAUCUUCUUUCAUAAAUGAGUAAGAACGUGAAAUUAGUUUCACUUCCUACGUUAAUUUGCAUCAUCUUUAUGAUGCACUGGGGCUCAAGCUCCACAGUGUUGGUUAAACUUAGUUAAGCGUUUUUAAGUAUAAAACACAAAGGAAAAUUAUAUAGGAUUAUCAAAAAUAAAUGACUAAUGCCAUUAAUAACAAUAAACUAAUUUUUUAAAAACGAAGUCACGUAUUCAAUAACUUUUGACAUAAAAGAAAAAGUACUUCGAUCAUAAUUACUUAAAUCCAUUAGCCAAAAAAAUAAAUGAAUAAAUAAAUAAAUAUCCCAUCAAUUAGUUUUCACACUUGAUCUGAUUUGGGAUCAUUCCAACACAAGCCAACAAUAGAGCUUCCAGACUAACUUUUGAUGCUUGCAGCGUCAUUCCUUCCUUCCACUUAUCAAUUAUUUCCUUUAGAGUCACAUCGACAAUCAAAUUUGAAAUCGUUAUAUUCAAUCCUCUUUUUGGACGGACAUUUUCCUUAUUAUUCUCAAACUUAACCAAUCAUUCAAGACUUGCUAUCCUUUUUAUAUGUCAUCCCACUUUUUAUUGUUACUCAUUCGCAAUCUUUUACAUCAACAAACAACGGAAUUUAUCAUAUAAGAGCUCCAUGUAUUCAGCAGUCUGUGGCAAACUAAUAAAGGGACCAGUAUUCCAACUUUCGUAGUCAUUUUUGCCUCCACUCUUUCUGCUUUCUAAAUUACCCGAUAAUUGUAGAUUCACUAAAAAAAUUUCAUCAUUAGUGGAAUACAAAUCUAUAUUCAUUUGUUCAUAAUUAAACAUGUCUUACUUGUUGUUAUGUAAACAAGUUAAUCUAUUAUAAAGCACAUUAUUUCUAUACAUAUCGUAUAAUAAAUGUUUCAACAUCUUUUCUCUCUUAAACCUUAUGAUUAUUUUUAGUUCCGGUUGCUAGCUUCUUCUUCGAAGUAUUAAAUCAUUUAUUGUUCUGAUGGAUCCUUCGACAAUGUCUAUUGAUUGAGAAUCUGCUGUUCUUAAAUAUGAUACCAUUCUUCCAAGCAGAAGUGAGGCAUACAAUGCAUUCAUUCACCAACAACGAAAUCAAAGACAAAGGGAUUGGAGAAAUCGAGUCAAAGCUGGACGAAUUGAUUCUCGAGAAAGGGUAACUGACACAGUAUUAUCCGAAAAUACUAAUUUCAGUUCUGCCCAUGUGAAUGAAGCAGUAAUAUGUCAUGAUUUCGAGGCUUCUACUUCGAACCAAGAAGCGACUGAUGUUUCUAAAUGUGUAAAACUUAUGAACAUACCAAAUACUGCAUAUGUAUUACUGACAUGUACCUAUUGUAAAUAUUGUGGUGCAUGAAAAUUUCAUAGAGAAAGUAAAAGUUUUUGUUGCUCAAAUGGAAAAGUUAAACUUUGUAUGCUUGAUUCACCCGCUG